UACAACCAUAUCACGUUGAAACACAUACUCUCGUACGGUCACCGAAGUUAAGCAACGUCGAGCUUGAUCAGUGCCUAGAUGAGUGACUGCUUGGGAAUGCCAGGUGCGGUA
This is a non-coding RNA of Acanthosepion pharaonis, 111 nucleotides long. The record is from the annotation of a GenBank genome assembly. NCBI's taxonomy places the organism in Eukaryota, Metazoa, Mollusca, Cephalopoda, Sepiida, Sepiidae.